UACAGAGGUCCCGAGCGUUGUUCGGAUUCAUUGGGCGUAAAGGGUGCGUAGGCGGCGGGGAAAGUCUGAUGUGAAAUCCUGGGGCUCAACCCUGGAACUGCAUUGGAUACUUCCUUGCUAGAGUACUGGAGAGGAAACUGGAAUUUACGGUGUAGCAGUGAAAUGCGUAGAGAUCGUAAGGAAGACCAGUGGCGAAGGCGAGUUUCCGGACAGUUACUGACGCUGAGGCACGAAGGCCAGGGGAGCAAACGGG
Molecule: ribosomal RNA, 253 nt
Filed under: uncultured bacterium
Lineage: Bacteria
Description: partial 16S ribosomal RNA
Rfam family: Bacterial small subunit ribosomal RNA
Source: RNAcentral